GAAAACAAAAAACCAGAAAUUCAAAUUUGUACUCUUUUUCUUUGCCAGGCAGUCAGCUGUUCCACAAAAUCAGAUCUAUGCCGAAACGUAUUAAAAGUCAACUACUUCCAUAUUGUGUGCCCAAAUUAUUAUCUAAAUUUAUGGAAAGUAAGGUAAAUAUUUAAUAACUUGGAAAAUUGUUACUCAAAUUUCAUAUAUGUAUAUGCAUAAGAAGUGUUUUACAGAUAUGUAUUUAUACCCAAUUGGCAGAGUUUUGCAAUUUUGUACCCCGACCUCAAAAACCACUUCUGUUUUUUGUUUUUGUUUUAACGUAACAUCAGGUAAUUUGUUUUUACAUUUUUUCGUACAAAGGCCAGAAUGGAAACGCCCAUAUUGAACUAUCUAAAAAAAUUACAGAAAAACUAUCAGCAAUCAUUCCUCUCCGGAAAAUUAAAAAAUGCGUUGGUUUUUUAUUUAGUUACGACCACCACUUUAUUUUCAUUUUGUGUUUUUUGUAAGUUUAGUUCAUUUUCAUUAAGUUUGCUCAAAUCAUGUUCGAUUAAAUUACAAAGUGCUUAAACCUAAAA
Molecule: long non-coding RNA, 566 nt
Organism: Drosophila miranda
Lineage: Eukaryota; Metazoa; Arthropoda; Insecta; Diptera; Drosophilidae
Exons: 2
Source: RefSeq, a predicted model, not a curated record